RNAcentral lists this ribosomal RNA (460 nucleotides) under uncultured bacterium. RNAcentral describes it as "partial 16S ribosomal RNA". It matches the Rfam family "Bacterial small subunit ribosomal RNA", at positions 338 to 795 of the family's 1533-position model. The record is from RNAcentral.
CCUACGGGUGGCAGCAGUGAGGAAUAUUGGUCAAUGGGCGAGAGCCUGAACCAGCCAAGUCGCGUGAAGGAUGAAGGAUCUAUGGUUUGUAAACUUCUUUUAUAUGGGCAUAAAGUGAGGAACGUGUUCCUUUUUGUAUGUACCAUAUGCAUAAGCAUCGGCUAACUCCGUGCCAGCAGCCGCGGUAAUACGGAGGAUGCGAGCGUUAUCCGGAUUUAUUGGGUGUAAAGGGUGCGUAGGUGGUUAAUUAAGUCAGCGGUGAAAGUUUGUGGCUCAACCAUAAAAUUGCAGUUGAAACUGGUUGGCUUGAGUAUAGUUGAGGUAGGGGGAAUGCGUGGUGUAGCGGUGAAAUGCAUAGAUAUCACGCAGAACUCCGAUUGCGAAGGCAGCUUACUAAACUAUAACUGACACUGAAGAACGAAAGCGUGGGUAGCAAACAGGAUUAGAUACCCGAGUAGUC